This 320-nucleotide unclassified non-coding RNA is filed under the name plant metagenome. RNAcentral's name for it is "partial contains 5.8S ribosomal RNA, internal transcribed spacer 2, and large subunit ribosomal RNA". The stretch from base 1 to 105 matches the Rfam family "5.8S ribosomal RNA", at positions 50 to 154 of the family's 154-position model. The record is from RNAcentral.
GAAAUGCGAUAAGUAAUGUGAAUUGCAGAAUUCAGUGAAUCAUCGAAUCUUUGAACGCACAUUGCGCCCGCCAGUAUUCUGGCGGGCAUGCCUGUUCGAGCGUCAUUACAACCCUCAGGCCCCCGGGCCUGGAGUUGGGGAUCGGCGGAAGCCCCCUGCGGGCACAACGCCGUCCCCCAAAUACAGUGGCGGUCCCGCCGCAGCUUCCAUUGCGUAGUAGCUAACACCUCGCAACUGGAGAGCGGCGCGGCCACGCCGUAAAACACCCAACUUCUGAAUGUUGACCUCGAAUCAGGUAGGAAUACCCGCUGAACUUAAGC